Molecule: unclassified non-coding RNA, 573 nt
Filed under: Hevea brasiliensis (rubber tree)
Lineage: Eukaryota; Viridiplantae; Streptophyta; Magnoliopsida; Malpighiales; Euphorbiaceae
Source: RNAcentral
UAUAAUUCAGUUACUUACUAUAUGGCUACAGACUAUUUCUAUCGUUUACUGUCUGUUCAAAUAUGUUCUUCAAUUACUAACUCAUCAUCCUCAACAUAUAUCACAGCCAAAACAAGGGGAGAGAAAAAUAGUUACAAAUGAAAAAUCAGAUGCUUGAAAGAUCAGUUGGAUGAAACAAAUGGCCAGGAAGCUGUUCUGUAUUGAUUUAGGCAGAGGCAUAAAAAGAUAUAAAGAGAAAUAACAGUUUUUUCCAAAUUGAUUUCCAAGGAAGAGGAAAGUAUUGUGUCAAAAGCUCCGCCUCAUCUUCGUUAUGGUGAUCUGUUGCAUUUCAAGACACAUACAUCCUUUUCUAAGAGGAACAGGUGUUAUAAAAUAGAACAUGUAUGAGAUUAAUCAAGGAACAUUAUGUUUGCUGAAAGUGAUUGAGACCAAAGGUAAAGAACGGAGGCACAUCUUGAAGUGGUACUUAUUGAGCUGGAUUAGGUGUUGCAUAGCCCCUAUAUAUAUUACAUGUUUUAAGUUAAAGAUUAUAUUUUUUUUAUUUAAGUCGAAAGUAAUAUGUCAUAUCCAAUG